Molecule: ribosomal RNA, 1047 nt
Filed under: Microbacterium sp. MRSA82aB1_13_2E
Lineage: Bacteria; Bacillati; Actinomycetota; Actinomycetes; Micrococcales; Microbacteriaceae
Description: bacterial SSU rRNA
Rfam family: Bacterial small subunit ribosomal RNA
Source: RNAcentral
UGCAAGUCGAACGAUGAAGCCCCAGCUUGCUGGGGUGGAUUAGUGGCGAACGGGUGAGUAACACGUGAGCAACCUGCCCCUGACUCUGGGAUAAGCGCUGGAAACGGCGUCUAAUACCGGAUAUGCACUGUAGCCGCAUGGUUUGCAGUGGGAAAGAUUUAUCGGUUGGGGAUGGGCUCGCGGCCUAUCAGCUUGUUGGUGAGGUAAUGGCUCACCAAGGCGUCGACGGGUAGCCGGCCUGAGAGGGUGACCGGCCACACUGGGACUGAGACACGGCCCAGACUCCUACGGGAGGCAGCAGUGGGGAAUAUUGCACAAUGGGCGCAAGCCUGAUGCAGCAACGCCGCGUGAGGGAUGACGGCCUUCGGGUUGUAAACCUCUUUUAGCAGGGAAGAAGCCUUCGGGUGACGGUACCUGCAGAAAAAGCGCCGGCUAACUACGUGCCAGCAGCCGCGGUAAUACGUAGGGCGCAAGCGUUAUCCGGAAUUAUUGGGCGUAAAGAGCUCGUAGGCGGUUUGUCGCGUCUGCUGUGAAAACUGGAGGCUCAACCUCCAGCCUGCAGUGGGUACGGGCAGACUAGAGUGCGGUAGGGGAGAUUGGAAUUCCUGGUGUAGCGGUGGAAUGCGCAGAUAUCAGGAGGAACACCGAUGGCGAAGGCAGAUCUCUGGGCCGUUACUGACGCUGAGGAGCGAAAGGGUGGGGAGCAAACAGGCUUAGAUACCCUGGUAGUCCACCCCGUAAACGUUGGGAACUAGUUGUGGGGGCCUUUCCACGGUCUCUGUGACGCAGCUAACGCAUUAAGUUCCCCGCCUGGGGAGUACGGCCGCAAGGCUAAAACUCAAAGGAAUUGACGGGGACCCGCACAAGCGGCGGAGCAUGCGGAUUAAUUCGAUGCAACGCGAAGAACCUUACCAAGGCUUGACAUAUACGAGAACGCUGCAGAAAUGUAGAACUCUUUGGACACUCGUAUACAGGUGGGUGCAUGGUUGUCGUCAGCUCGUGUCGUGAGAUGUUGGGUUAAGUCCCGCAACGAGCGCAACCCUCGUU